RNAcentral lists this ribosomal RNA (541 nucleotides) under uncultured Verrucomicrobiota bacterium. RNAcentral's name for it is "bacterial SSU rRNA". It matches the Rfam family "Bacterial small subunit ribosomal RNA", at positions 8 to 522 of the family's 1533-position model. The record is from RNAcentral. Lineage: Bacteria; Pseudomonadati; Verrucomicrobiota.
AGAGUUUGAUCAUGGCUCAGAACGAACGCUGGCGGCGUGGAUAAGACAUGCAAGUCGAGCGCUGAUUCCGGGGUAGCAAUAUUCCGGAGUCGGAGCGGCGCAAGGGUGCGUAACACGUGGGUAAUCUGCCAGGAAGUUGGGGAUAACUUGCUGAAAGGCGAGCUAAUACCGAAUGUGACCAUCGGGAGGCCUCUCCUGAUGGUUAAAGUUGGGGACCGCAAGGCCUGACGCUUCCUGAUGAACCCGCGGCCUAUCAGCUAGUUGGUGAGGUAACGGCCCACCAAGGCUAAGACGGGUAGCUGGUCUGAGAGGACGACCAGCCACACUGGAACUGAGACACGGUCCAGACACCUACGGGUGGCAGCAGUCGAGAAUUUUUCACAAUGGGCGCAAGCCUGAUGGAGCGACGCCGCGUGGGGGAUGAAUGGCUUCGGCCCGUAAACCCCUGUCAUUUGCGAUCAAACCUCGUUAUUUAAAAGAUGACGAGCUGAUAGUAGCGAAAGAGGAAGGGACGGCUAACUCUGUGCCAGCAGCCGCGGUA